Molecule: ribosomal RNA, 490 nt
Filed under: uncultured bacterium
Lineage: Bacteria
Description: partial 16S ribosomal RNA
Rfam family: Bacterial small subunit ribosomal RNA
Source: RNAcentral
AUUGAACGCUGGCGGCAGGCCUAACACAUGCAAGUCGAACGGUAACAGGAAGAAGCUUGCUUCUUUGCUGACGAGUGGCGGACGGGUGAGUAAUGUCUGGGAAACUGCCUGAUGGAGGGGGAUAACUACUGGAACCGGUAGCUAAUACCGCAUAACGUCGCAAGACCGAAGAGGGGGACCUUCGGGCCUCUUGCCAUCGGAUGUGCCCAGAUGGGAUUAGCUAGUAGGUGGGGUAACGGCUCACCUAGGCGACGAUCCCUAGCUGGUCUGAGAGGAUGACCAGCCACACUGGAACUGGGACACGGUCCAGACUCCUACGGGAGGCAGCAGUGGGGAAUAUUGCACAAUGGGCGCAAGCCUGAUGCAGCCAUGCCGCGUGUAUGAAGAAGGCCUUCGGGUUGUAAAGUACUUUCAGCGGGGAGGAAGGGAGUAAAGUUAAUACCUUUGCUCAUUGACGUUACCCGCAGAAGAAGCACCGGCUAACUCCGUG